AUUGAACGCUGGCGGCAGGCUUAACACAUGCAAGUCGAGCGGGGGAAGGUAGCUUGCUACCGGACCUAGCGGCGGACGGGUGAGUAAUGCUUAGGAAUCUGCCUAUUAGUGGGGGACAACAUCUCGAAAGGGAUGCUAAUACCGCAUACGUCCUACGGGAGAAAGCAGGGGAUCUUCGGACCUUGCGCUAAUCGAUGAGCCUAAGUCGGAUUAGCUAGUUGGUGGGGUCAAGGCCUACCAAGGCGACGAUCUGUAGCGGGUCUGAGAGGAUGAUCCGCCAGACUGGGACUGAGACACGGCCCGGACUCCUACGGGAGGCAGCAGUGGGGAAUAUUGGACAAUGGGGGGAACCCUGAUCCAGCCAUGCCGCGUGUGUGAAGAAGGCCUUAUGGUUGUAAAGCACUUUAAGCGAGGAGGAGGCUACUCUAGUUAAUACCUAGGGAUAGUGGACGUUACUCGCAGAAUAAGCACCGGCUAACUCUGUGCCAGCAGCCGCGGUAA
RNAcentral lists this ribosomal RNA (501 nucleotides) under uncultured bacterium. Its description in RNAcentral is "partial 16S ribosomal RNA". It matches the Rfam family "Bacterial small subunit ribosomal RNA", at positions 30 to 523 of the family's 1533-position model. The record is from RNAcentral.